This 626-nucleotide ribosomal RNA is filed under the name Bacillus subtilis. RNAcentral describes it as "bacterial SSU rRNA". It matches the Rfam family "Bacterial small subunit ribosomal RNA", at positions 555 to 1182 of the family's 1533-position model. Lineage: Bacteria; Bacillati; Bacillota; Bacilli; Caryophanales; Bacillaceae. The record is from RNAcentral.
UGGGCGUAAGGGCUCGCAGGCGGUUUCUUAAGUCUGAUGUGAAAGCCCCCGGCUCAACCGGGGAGGGUCAUUGGAAACUGGGGAACUUGAGUGCAGAAGAGGAGAGUGGAAUUCCACGUGUAGCGGUGAAAUGCGUAGAGAUGUGGAGGAACACCAGUGGCGAAGGCGACUCUCUGGUCUGUAACUGACGCUGAGGAGCGAAAGCGUGGGGAGCGAACAGGAUUAGAUACCCUGGUAGUCCACGCCGUAAACGAUGAGUGCUAAGUGUUAGGGGGUUUCCGCCCCUUAGUGCUGCAGCUAACGCAUUAAGCACUCCGCCUGGGGAGUACGGUCGCAAGACUGAAACUCAAAGGAAUUGACGGGGGCCCGCACAAGCGGUGGAGCAUGUGGUUUAAUUCGAAGCAACGCGAAGAACCUUACCAGGUCUUGACAUCCUCUGACAAUCCUAGAGAUAGGACGUCCCCUUCGGGGGCAGAGUGACAGGUGGUGCAUGGUUGUCGUCAGCUCGUGUCGUGAGAUGUUGGGUUAAGUCCCGCAACGAGCGCAACCCUUGAUCUUAGUUGCCAGCAUUCAGUUGGGCACUCUAAGGUGACUGCCGGUGACAAACCGGAGGAAGGUGGGGAUGA